RNAcentral lists this ribosomal RNA (253 nucleotides) under uncultured bacterium. Its description in RNAcentral is "partial 16S ribosomal RNA". It matches the Rfam family "Bacterial small subunit ribosomal RNA", at positions 524 to 776 of the family's 1533-position model. The record is from RNAcentral.
UACGUAGGCAGCAAGCGUUGUUCGGAGUUACUGGGCGUAAAGAGUGCGUAGGUGGUGCCCUAAGUCUGUUGUGAAAUCUCCCGGCUUAACUGGGAGGGUGCGGUGGAAACUGGGGUGCUUGAGUGUGGGAGAGGUAAGCGGAAUUCCUGGUGUAGCGGUGAAAUGCGUAGAUAUCAGGAGGAACACCGGUGGCGAAGGCGGGUCUCUGGGCCGAAACUGACGCUGAGGAGCGAAAGCGUGGGGAGCAAACAGG